UAGCAGACUAUUGCUGGGCCGCAUCUCC
RNAcentral lists this non-coding RNA (28 nucleotides) under Rattus norvegicus (Norway rat). Lineage: Eukaryota; Metazoa; Chordata; Mammalia; Rodentia; Muridae. The record is from RNAcentral.